GAGAGAGAGCCACGAGCAGUUUUUUUUAUUCCCACGCAACUUCCUCUCUUUCCCAUCCCGACCGGCUAGGGUUCCGCCGGCGCCAUCCCUUCUCGUCCAGCGCUGGCCAACAGAGAAGGCGGGCGCGCGGAGGGGAUUCAACCUCGACCACGUCUGCGGCAACGGCGAGGGCCUCCGCUCGCAGGUCUCCGUCUCGCUGCUCGUCCGGGAGGCUGCGCGGAGGGGAUUCGCUGUGAGCGAGGUGCCGUGGAUCGGCAAGCGAGCGCUCGGGACGAGGACCUUUUCUUCUCCGGCCUCUUGGCAGUUGAGAUCCUCUGUCUUCUCGCCGUGGCUAGGGUUGCCGCCGUCGCCGCCCUCCCCAUCCUGACUCCUCUAGCGCCGGCCUCGACCCGCUUGGCGAUAAGGCACUGGUACUUCAGCUCCUAUGUCAUCCAUGAUUGACAGUGAUCAGAUGCCAACAAUGCAUGGGAGUGGAUGUCAUCACCCAGUGACGUGUCUCUUUGCCGAUUAUGGUUGGACCCUUUGCUGUUCGCGGAACCCAUAAUUCAUCCCAUAGUUCUUCCUCAACAUUGGUUGGGGGCGGGAUGGACCUACACAUCCGUCAAGCAUCAGGCAAACCUCCUGGGCGAGGCUUCCUUGUACAACAGAAAGCACAUCUGUGUGCCCUCCAGAUUCUCUUGUAGCACCUCCUGCUGCUUGCCCUUGCACGGUAGCAAGCCUAGCAGGUAGCAUCAACACAGGAAGGUGAGGUUGCCAGCGGCCGGUGGGUGGCUGCUCCAGCAAGAAACUAGCAGAGCCUAUCAUGUGGCAACAUGACUUAAGGGUAUAUGGCUUUGCUUGAGAAGCCCACACAGAGCCAACAGUCGAGUCUGGGAUAUUCAAAGCACUUGAAAGAGCAAACUACUCGAUAGAAGUAGGAAAGAUUAAUGAUAUUCUGGGUGUGGAAGAACCAACAAUGGAGUUUCUGCUACUGGACAGAUGCAUUAGAUAAUUGUACUGCCAUGUGUUUUUGGCUCCCAUGUAUCCUCCAAUUCAUCAGGUAUGCCUUCUUGCUGAACUAAUUAAUCACAUUUAACUAUAGCAUCUCAGUUGCAUCAUACUAGCUUUAUUCUAUGAUUUUGGCUUUCUAUGUGUAUGCCGAAAUAUGUGAUCAGAUAAGAAUAUCCAGUUGCAAAAGAAUAUGAAAUUGCCAAUUUACUUUCAAGGGUAGGCGGAGCUAAAAUAGUUUUGGUUGGCGACGUUUUUCUGUGAAUCCCUUUCACCCUAAUAGGUGACAUCCCUUCCUUUUUGUUAUCCACCCCAUGCAUCAGGCCUACCUCUGACUAGCUCCCUGCAAACAUUUUGGGCAUUUGAUAGCAAACUGGCGAAGUGGUUUUGUAUAACUAUAAUAAAUGGGGUUGAACUGGUUUUGAUAUUGUUUCUGGUACUAACCAGUAGGCUGUUACAAUUUUGUCCUUGUUCCCUCAUUUAAAGACUCAUUUUUGUCUUAUUUAGCAAGCAUCCUCUGGAAGUCGGCCAUGGUUUUGGUUCCCUACUCCUGACAGUAGUUGGGGUAGUGGCGGUUCGAAGGAUGAACUUCCAUGGAAGAUCGAAGCUUUAGUCCUUGACUCAGCUCGUGCACACCCUGGGGCUCUACGGUCAUUCGAAGUCCAUCAUGAUGAUUGCACACUUUUUACUGGGGGAGUUGGACAUGGUUUUAAAGGGUGUAUACAUCAUUGGGAGUUGUCCAACGUGUCAGUUUGUCUCACUACCUGCACAUGACUUUCUUUUUUUGCAAUUAUUGUUGGAUGGUUUUUGAAUUAAAUGUAGUUUGUACAGAUCUUGUACUGGUGUUUGGCUUAGUGUAUGAAAUACUAAUAUAGGAUUAAUGGUUUAUGAAUUAUUAUAUGAUAGAUAGUGAUGGUAAAUUAUUUGAAGAUUGUUCUGUGUAGAUCAGAGUUAAACAUGUUUAUAACGAAGCCUUUUCUUGGAAUGAAAUUAAAUUUAUGACUUCAAAAGUACACCUCUAUAUCAAAAUAUAAGAUGUUUUUGCAGUUCAAAUUGAACUAAAAAAACGUCUUACAUUUUGGCAUAGAGGUAGUAAGAAUUUAGCAUUUGCUUGAUUGUCUAAUUUGAGAGCCUUCAUGUUCUCGGAUGUCUUUGUUUUCAACUCUUUGUUGAUGUCACCAUGAAGCUUGAAUAUUUUCCAUUCCUUGAUAAAUACAUUGCUCUACAGAAUUGGUUGAUUAAAGAAUUAACUCUUCUUCAUAGUAGUAUUUUCCUCAAAUUAUGAAACCUCCAACAACGUAGAGAGAUAACCAUUUUGUUAGUUUUUCAAUCAAAGCUUCCAUCAAAUAAUUUAUUACAAUUGUCCUCCAGCUUAUUCAGAAACUGCAUGAUUUGAAUGACGGAUCAGAUGAGGCCGCUGGCCAUGGCGCAUAGGCCUGCUUACGGCGGGACAUGAAUUAGCUGAUGGCGACGCGUGCAGGCAGAGCUCGCCACCUUGAACCCAACACGAGGCGAAGCUGGAAGCCGGCAUCACAGGCGCGCACGCGUCCAUGCCACGCUCCCCGAUGGCGGGUGGCACACCAAGCCGUCGUCUCCGUCCACCAUGAAGUGCCCCACCCUGUUAAGUAAAGGUGGAGAAUCCUCUUUGAAGUGUAUGGUGUUCCCUAUGUAGAAUUUUUGUUGAGCAAACAAUGUUGAGUGACUUUUUGAAUCAAGUAUGAUCUGGAUUGCACAGGAUACCGCCUGCUCUUUGUUGAAUGACUUUUUGAAUGAAGUGUGAUCUGGAUUGCAUGUA
Triticum dicoccoides is the source of this 2782-nucleotide long non-coding RNA. RefSeq lists it as uncharacterized. NCBI's taxonomy places the organism in Eukaryota, Viridiplantae, Streptophyta, Magnoliopsida, Poales, Poaceae. The transcript has 6 exons. The record is from RefSeq and is a predicted model, not a curated record.